Molecule: ribosomal RNA, 460 nt
Filed under: uncultured bacterium
Lineage: Bacteria
Description: partial 16S ribosomal RNA
Rfam family: Bacterial small subunit ribosomal RNA
Source: RNAcentral
CCUACGGGAGGCAGCAGUGAGGAAUAUUGGUCAAUGGCCGAAAGGCUGAACCAGCCAAGUAGCGUGAAGGAUGACUGCCCUAUGGGUUGUAAACUUCUUUUAUAUGGGAAUAAAAUGUUCCACGUGUGGGAUUUUGUAUGUACCAUAUGAAUAAGAAUCGGCUAACUCCGUGCCAGCAGCCGCGGUAAUACGGAGGAUCCGAGCGUUAUCCGGAUUUAUUGGGUUUAAAGGUAGCGUAGGUGGAUUGUUAAGUCAGUUGGGAAAGUCUGCGGCUCAACCGUUAAAUGGCAGUUGAAACUGGCAGGCUUGAGUACAGGAGAGGUGGGCGGAAUGCGUGGUGUAGCGGUGAAAUGCUUAGAUAUCACGAAGAACUCCGAUUGCGAAGGCAGCUCACGGGACUGCAACUGACACUGAGGCUCGAAAGUGUGGGUAUCAAACAGGAUUAGAUACCCUUGUAGUC